This 306-nucleotide ribosomal RNA is filed under the name Pseudomonas aeruginosa. Its description in RNAcentral is "bacterial SSU rRNA". It matches the Rfam family "Bacterial small subunit ribosomal RNA", at positions 1046 to 1352 of the family's 1533-position model. Lineage: Bacteria; Pseudomonadati; Pseudomonadota; Gammaproteobacteria; Pseudomonadales; Pseudomonadaceae. The record is from RNAcentral.
UGGCUGUCGUCAGCCCGUGUCGUGAGAUGUUGGGUUAAGUCCCGUAACGAGCGCAACCCUUGUCCUUAGUUACCAGCACCUCGGGUGGGCACUCUAAGGAGACUGCCGGUGACAAACCGGAGGAAGGUGGGGAUGACGUCAAGUCAUCAUGGCCCUUACGGCCAGGGCUACACACGUGCUACAAUGGUCGGUACAAAGGGUUGCCAAGCCGCGAGGUGGAGCUAAUCCCAUAAAACCGAUCGUAGUCCGGAUCGCAGUCUGCAACUCGACUGCGUGAAGUCGGAAUCGCUAGUAAUCGUGAAUCAG